RNAcentral lists this long non-coding RNA (1949 nucleotides) under Cricetulus griseus (Chinese hamster). RNAcentral's name for it is "lncRNA (ENSCGRG00015030330.1)". Lineage: Eukaryota; Metazoa; Chordata; Mammalia; Rodentia; Cricetidae. The record is from RNAcentral.
UUGUCAUGUAGACCUUUAAACUCUAGAUCUUCCUGCCUCUGUCUCCCAGGUGUUGGGGUUAAAGUGCAUUACCACACCAGGCUGAUCUGAUUAUUAAAAGACAAAAUAGAAAAUUUGUGGCAGAUAAAUAUUGUAGCAAAUACAAUUCAGAUUGAAGAGCCAUGUGACAACCUGUAGGUAGAAGUAAAAAUGCUGGAGUAGGGAUAGUUCAUGCUUUUCUUCUAGGGGAGUGUAUGUGAUGUAGUUUCUUUUUUGGUGUUUUGAGCUUUGGAGCCUGUCCUGAAACUUGCUCUGUAGACUAGGCUGGCCUCUAACCCACAGAGAUCCACCUGACUCUGCUUCCCCAGUGCUGGGAUUAAGUGCUUUAGUUUCUGAACACAAAUCAUAUAGCCUUACUAGCAAAAGAUAAAUGGCUCAAGUAUAUAUCUCUAUUAGAAAUGUUAGGGUGGGAUUUGUGUGUCCUGGUACUUCACUAUAGGGUGGGUAAUUGGUAGAUAUUUUCACUGUUAGUCUCUUUAAAUAUUACCUCUUGAGUAAAUGUCUUGCUCUGCUUACGGCACAGCCACCUACUCUGCUCUUUUCCAAGCAUGGAGAGUCCAGUUCAGUUUCCUGAAGCUGCAUCGGCUUCAGCCUGGCUGCUCCCUAUCUUUGUACCUGCCAUUUCUCCUCACCUCACAUUGUACAAUAAGAAAACUUCCAGAACCAAAGCAAAGUGACAUCCAAACAAUAAUGACUAAUUGCCUUCCCAGUCUGCUUGGAUACCACUCAUGAAGAAGUUAUGGAAGAAAGUGUCAACUUCCUCCUCUCUGGUGUCUUCAGCUGUCAACGUUGACAAACUUCAACAAGACCCAGUGGGGAAACAAAACAAAACAAAACAUGUAGUGUAGAAAUGCAUUUCUAGGAUUGGGACCCCAUUAUUGUUUCUAGGGACAGUUCUGGAGUGGAGCAACAACAUUUGAUCAGGCCAGCUUGUCCCUUUUGUCUGACUGGAUGUAUGGGGAGUUGCCACAGGAUAGAAAGUGAAAGGUGAAGUCCAGAUGGCCAAAUGCCUUCACAGAAGCAUUGAAACACCCAGGUUGUCCUGUACUCUACCAACUCCCUUUUUGCUUUUUCUCCGUAGUCUUAGUAACUUGGUGUUAGUUUUAAAGUGUAGUUUGAAGGUUAACUAUAGCCCUUUGUUUUGUAAACAGAUUAUAUACAGAAUCUAGUCCAGUAGUCUGAAGGAGCACUAGUUACUAGUUUCCAUUUACAGGGGGAGCUGAUGUGUCAGGGCAGUGGCUGAAAUGCUUGCCUUCUUGGGUAUCAUUAGUAUAAUGGCUGUUUGCUUGAAGCCAUUUUAGGCUGUGUGUGACUCUUGAGGUUCUAGUGAUGACUGAGAAGCCCUGGAAGCCACAGAAUGCUUUCCCAAGCAAGCAUAUGCCAAGCUCUAUCAUCACUGCGAUCCCUUACCUCACUGAUUGUUAAAGCCUAAUUUUUACUUCCCUGUCUCAACUGCUGAAAGUCCCAUUAUUCUAGUAGAUAAGGAUCAUAUGGUUCAGUGAAUUUUUAGUACAGGGAUGGUAGGAGGUUAAGGCAGAGAUAUGGCUAGUGAGACCCUCAUGUGCUGAGGCUCUAGAUGGUGAUUUUAAGUGGGAGUGAUUAAACAGCUUCACAGUUCACACAGCAGUUUUAAUGGUUACCACUUCAGGCCUGCUUCUGCUGACAUCUAAUUGUGACCUUUGAAACAGCACCAUCACUGAUGAGUUACACACCAAGGAAGAAGCUUUCUAGCUAUAUUUAAGUUCUAUAUAGAUGCCUCAAAAUUUGCUUUAUUGGGGAAAUGUUAGGAUUUGAAUUUGAAGGCUAUAGCCAAAUUAGUCCAGGUUUCUGAAUGAACAAUGAUUUGAUAUUUCAGACUCGAAAGCAAGUCCGUUAAGUUACUAAUAAGCAUUUUUCCAUGCUAACAUUAG